RNAcentral lists this ribosomal RNA (164 nucleotides) under uncultured bacterium. RNAcentral describes it as "partial 16S ribosomal RNA". It matches the Rfam family "Bacterial small subunit ribosomal RNA", at positions 355 to 511 of the family's 1533-position model. The record is from RNAcentral.
UAGGGAAUCUUCCACAAUGGGCGAAAGCCUGGUGGAGCAACGCCGCGUGUGUGGUGAAGGCUUUCGGGUCGUAAAGCACUGUUGUAUGGGAAGAACAGCUAGAAUAGGAAAUGAUUUUAGUUUGACGGUACCCUACCAGAAAGGGACGGCUAAAUACGUGCCAG